This 420-nucleotide ribosomal RNA is filed under the name uncultured eukaryote. RNAcentral describes it as "bacterial SSU rRNA". It matches the Rfam family "Eukaryotic small subunit ribosomal RNA", at positions 592 to 1018 of the family's 1831-position model. The record is from RNAcentral.
CAAUAGCGUAUAUUAAAGUUGUUGCAGUUAAAAAGCUCGUAGUUGGACUUCUGAUGUGGAGGGACGGUCCGCCUCACGGUGAGCACUGAUUCUUCACGUCUUCCUCUCGUAGUCUUUUGGCGCACUUAGUUGGGUGCCUUUAGAAUAUGGGACCUUUACUUUGAAAAAUUAGAGUGUUUAAAGCAGGCUUAAGCCGUUGAAUACAUUAGCAUGGAAUAAUAAGAUAAGACUUGGGUCAUUAUUUUGUUGGUUUGCGGAUCGAGGUAAUGAUUAAUAGGGAUAGUUGGGGGUAUUCAUAUUUAAUUGUCAGAGGUGAAAUUCUUGGAUUUAUGAAAGAUGAACUUAGGCGAAAGCAUUUACCAAGGAUGUUUUCAUUAAUCAAGAACGAAAGUUAGGGGAUCGAAGAUGAUCAGAUACCGU